RNAcentral lists this non-coding RNA (74 nucleotides) under Paenibacillus phyllosphaerae. Lineage: Bacteria; Bacillati; Bacillota; Bacilli; Caryophanales; Paenibacillaceae. The record is from RNAcentral.
GAAAGCCGUAUGAGGGAAAACCUCACGUACGGUUUGAUGAGGAGGAGCUGGGAAGACCAGCCCUCUACUCUAGU